CACCAUGGUUGCUAAAAAAGAACUCCUCCCGUAUCCCUAACCUUCUGAAGGCCACCACCACACCCGUAGCUUGCCAUGGAUCACGCCGCCGCCCGGCUCCCCACCGUCGUCGUCGCUCCCUGUCUCAUCUGCCGCCGCUGCCCACCACAUCCACUCUAUGUCGCAUCCCACCGCUUCCAUCGCCACCGCUAACCAUCUCUCGCCUUAGUCCUCUCUCUUGGACCAGCACGCUGCGGCGGAUGCUUCCGGUCGCGUGGUGGCGACGCGGCUGGUCGCCUAUAAGCUACAACAAUGGUUCCCUGUUGUACCCCUCCACUCACCGGACCGCUGAGGCAUGGAUGUACCUGGUGAAGAUCGCGCUCCGCAUAGCAAAUUCGGCCAUGUUCUGAGUGGUUGCUCGGCAAGGUAAUUUUCAUCUCUGAAGUUCUCUUAUGGACCGUGUAAUGGAUUUGUGGGUGCGCUAGAUGGAGUGCCACUGGAUUGCCAUGUUAGUGGGCAGAAUCUCCUCUCCUGCACACACGAAGCAAGGAGCUGAGUCAAUACUACUAUCCUUUGGCUUUGCAAUGGUGAUUAGAUAGUUCUGUUUUUUCAAAUCAUGGUGCUUUAGUUAGUUUGUCAACAGGUAGAAGAGCAAUUGAUCAGAAGGCCCAUAAUUUUUUCAUGGAUGUAGAAGAAACCGAAAAGAUCCUUUCAUGGUUGUACAAGGAAGCCCUAAAAUACCUACCUUCACCUUCGCUUCCUCUAAUCUGUACUCUAUCCCUCCCCCAGUUGAAAAACAAAUCCACGUCUCUCUCAAAACCAAGUUGAGGCAUGGAUCCCGUGUAAUCAAGGAGCUUAUUGCGUCAAGAUUAUUUUCUUCCUCUGGAUCAGAUAGUGUUGCGCGCUCAAGGGAUUCAAUCUAGAAUCUUCUCACCUACAGUACAACCUAUGGAUGUCCGAGAUCGGUCGGGGCAUAACUAUGCUCCUCAGGUGAGUUUAUAAAUUAAGAAACAUGUUGUCUAAACAAACAUAAACAUGAAGGAGCCUAAUGUCAGUUGUCAACAUGCCGCUGUUUAAGCCACUCCUAAAUCAAUUUUCGUAUGGGCAAAACAUGCCAGGGACCCUAUAUGGCAAGAUUAAUAUCUUUUCUUGAUUUCUUUUGUUGCUGCUCUGCCACAAUCUCCUGAUUAAGGAAGUACCUUGCCAAGCUGGCAUGUCCUGGCCGUUGUAGGUAAGAGAAUUGACUUCUGAUGAACUUUCUUCUUCUUAUCCUCUUUCAGUUAGAUAGUUAUAUUGUGAAACACUUGACAACGAAGCUCUCUGUCAACUAUUAGAGUAUUGACGGUUUCUGUCGUAAAUCUGAAUGUUUUUGCGGGCAAUUGUUUUGUAAAAGCAAUGGCACGUGACAACUACUAAAGCAUUGAGUGUCAUUGCUGUUGCACUUUCUAUAAGUAUGGGGAUUGAUUUUCUGUCAAUUCUGCGUUACAACUUACGACUGACAACUACUAAAUUUCAAUGCCCUUUUUGACAAUUUUAGGUUAAAUAGAAUGGCGUGUGAAAUAAUUGGUGCUAUCAACUAGGAGUAAUCAUGUCAUUGAUGGGUAAUGUAGCAGUUAUGCUCUGCAUUGAUAUUAAAGUCAACACAAAGGAACUCUCACAUAUGUUUGCUUUGUCUCCAACUGGGAAAUAAUGUGUGCGUACAUACCCACUGGAAUGUUACCCGCGCUCCGUACUCGGCUCCGGUGAUACAGUUUAACGGCAAGACACACUUAUCUAACAAAGUGCUCACAACUUCCCAGCAAAUGCUGCUCAUUGAGUGCCUCCUCCAUUCAAUGAGGAAAAGUUGACUGCUUGAGAAAAAGAAGCUGUUGCCCGAUAUGUUCAUCGAUGCUGUGGACAACGAUUUUUAUUAUCGUUUCCCAUAUUUAUCUAAUUAGGUUUGCAAUUACACUUUGUUUUAUUUAUCAUCUGUAUCUAGAAAAUCAGAUUGUGAAGCUUAUAAUUUAUUAGUUUUUCUGUGAUUUCCCUUUAUUUUGCUGAUAGUCCACUACUCAGGAUUAUAAGAGCCACCAUCUUUGUGAGCAUUUUAACUUCAGGUGUUCCAAGGUGUUAGUAUGGUUCUACAGAGAAAGCUGCACAACAUGCCUAAUUUUGUACUUACCUUGCAGUUCUGUAGAUCUACUACAAUUAUAUGAUGUCCUCAAAUCAGACCUUUGCAAGCAUCACAAGAUAUCAGUAUAUAUAUGUAGCGCACCUUUGGUUCAAUCAUACAUUCAUAGUAGUUUGAUGUACUACGUUUUGGUUGGCAGAGAGGAUUCUGAUGGUGACGCAUGAUUCACUGUAUUUUGUUUUGUUUUCAGGCCGAUGAAAUUGCUGGACUAGAAAAAAAUAUGUGUGUAUAUAAGUCAUCCAGCUCCGGGAGCGCGCGGAGCGAUGCUUGGGCGACUCCUAGAAAUUGGGAUGCGGGCCGCUCCGCUCCAGUGCGGUGCUUCGAAGCGGAGAGCUACCGAACAGCGCCUUUGCGUUAGGAUUAAGAGCAUGAUGAUUGCAAGGAUUUUCAGUUUUGAAAGGCAGAUGAAAUUGUUGGACUGAAAAGAAAUCAGUGUGUAUAUAUGGUAGUUCUCAUUGCAACAUCCACUUUACUCUACAGAAGGUGUUGUUGUUAAUAAUAAUUUCUGUAUUGUAAUAACUUGUGGUUGGACACUUGAGCUCCUUUAGUAAGUCCUUACUAUGAAAUAUAUUCACUAAUGUACUAAUUGCGAAAUUAAUGUGUACGCAGUUACAUGGUUCAUUAUUUAUUUAUUACAAAUAUAUGGUUGUUUACAUGCAA
Long non-coding RNA from Triticum aestivum (bread wheat), 2809 nucleotides. RefSeq lists it as uncharacterized. The record is from RefSeq and is a predicted model, not a curated record. The transcript is spliced from 5 exons. Lineage: Eukaryota; Viridiplantae; Streptophyta; Magnoliopsida; Poales; Poaceae.